AUAUUGGACAAUGGGCGAAAGCCUGAUCCAGCCAUGCCGCGUGUGUGAAGAAGGUCUUNGUAUUGNANAGUACUUUAAGUUGGGANGAAGGGCAGGAAGUUAAUACCUUGCAGUUUUGACGUUACCAACAGAAUAAGAACCGGCUACCUAUGUGCCAGCAGCCGCGGUAAUAACGAGGGUUCAAGCUUUAAUCGGAAUUACUGGGCGUAAAUCGAUAGUAGGUGGUUCAGUAAGAUGGGUGUGAAAUCCCCGGGCUUAACCUGGGAACUGCUUUCAUAACUGCUGAGCUAGAGUACGGUAGAGGGUAGUGGAAUUUCCUGUGUAGCGGUGAAAUGCGUAGAUAUAGGAAGGAACACCAGUGGCGAAGGCGACCACCUGGGCUAAUACUGACACUGAGGUGCGAAAGCGUGGGGAGCAAA
This 419-nucleotide ribosomal RNA is filed under the name uncultured bacterium. RNAcentral's name for it is "partial 16S ribosomal RNA". It matches the Rfam family "Bacterial small subunit ribosomal RNA", at positions 361 to 772 of the family's 1533-position model. The record is from RNAcentral.